Molecule: ribosomal RNA, 261 nt
Filed under: uncultured archaeon
Lineage: Archaea
Description: partial 16S ribosomal RNA
Rfam family: Archaeal small subunit ribosomal RNA
Source: RNAcentral
AGGGUGUAAACGCUGCAGACUUGGUGUUGGAAGCCCUUUGGGGGCAUUCAGUGCCGGAGAGAAGUUGUUAAGUCUGCUACUUGGGGAGUACGUCCGCAAGGAUGAAACUUAAAGGAAUUGGCGGGGGAGCACCGCAACGGGAGGAGCGUGCGGUUUAAUUGGAUUCAACACCGUAAAACUCACCAGGGAAGACUGUUACAUGAAGGCCGAGAUGGAGACUCUGCUAGAUUUUCAGAGAGGAGGUGCAUGGCGUCAGUGACU